CGCGUAGGCGGAUUGACAAGUUAGUGGUGAAAGACCGGGGCUCAACCUCGGGGUUGCCAUUAAGACUGUUAUAUCUGGAGUGCAGUAGAGGGUAGAGGAAUUUCCGGUGUAGCGGUAAAAUGCAUAGAGAUCGGAAGGAACAUCAGUGGUGAAGACGUCUAUCUGGGCUGUAACUGACGCUGAGGCGCGAAAGCGUGGGUAUCAAACA
This 208-nucleotide ribosomal RNA is filed under the name uncultured bacterium. RNAcentral describes it as "partial 16S ribosomal RNA". It matches the Rfam family "Bacterial small subunit ribosomal RNA", at positions 568 to 774 of the family's 1533-position model. The record is from RNAcentral.